AACGCUGGCGGCGUGCUUAACACAUGCAAGUCGAACGAGAAAGCCCUUCGGGGUGAGUAGAGUGGCGCACGGGUGAGUAAUGCAUGGGAACGUACCAAUAGGUUCGGGAUAACCACGGGAAACUGUGGCUAAUACCGGAUGUGCUCGCAAGAGUAAAGGAGGCCUCUCAUAUAGCUGUUAAUUACCGACUCAUUUUAUGAGUUAGUAAUUAGCGGUUAUAUGAUGCUCCCGCCUACUGAUCGGCCCAUGUCCCAUUAGCUAGUUGGUGAGGUAACUGCUCACCAAGGCUACGAUGGGUAGCUGGUCUGAGAGGAUGAUCAGCCACACUGGAACUGAGACACGGUCCAGACUCCUACGGGAGGCAGCAGUGGGGAAUAUUGCACAAUGGGGGAAACCCUGAUGCAGCAACGCCGCGUGAGUGAAGAAGGCUCUUGGGUCGUAAAGCUCUUUCGACAGGAAAGAAGGGUGAUAAGGUGAAUAAUCUUAUUGCUUGUCGGUACCUGCAGAAGAAGCACCGGCUAAUUCCGUGCCAGCAGCCGCGGUAAU
RNAcentral lists this ribosomal RNA (546 nucleotides) under uncultured bacterium. RNAcentral's name for it is "bacterial SSU rRNA". It matches the Rfam family "Bacterial small subunit ribosomal RNA", at positions 32 to 524 of the family's 1533-position model. The record is from RNAcentral.